RNAcentral lists this ribosomal RNA (465 nucleotides) under Vreelandella stevensii. Its description in RNAcentral is "partial 16S ribosomal RNA". It matches the Rfam family "Bacterial small subunit ribosomal RNA", at positions 338 to 795 of the family's 1533-position model. Lineage: Bacteria; Pseudomonadati; Pseudomonadota; Gammaproteobacteria; Oceanospirillales; Halomonadaceae. The record is from RNAcentral.
CCUACGGGGGGCUGCAGUGGGGAAUAUUGGACAAUGGGCGAAAGCCUGAUCCAGCCAUGCCGCGUGUGUGAAGAAGGCCUUCGGGUUGUAAAGCACUUUCAGUGGGGAAGAAAGCCUUGGGGCUAAUACCCUCGAGGAAGGACAUUACCCACAGAAGAAGCACCGGCUAACUCCGUGCCAGCAGCCGCGGUAAUACGGAGGGUGCGAGCGUUAAUCGGAAUUACUGGGCGUAAAGCGCGCGUAGGCGGUCUGAUAAGCCGGUUGUGAAAGCCCCGGGCUCAACCUGGGAACGGCAUCCGGAACUGUCAGGCUAGAGUGCAGGAGAGGAAGGUAGAAUUCCCGGUGUAGCGGUGAAAUGCGUAGAGAUCGGGAGGAAUACCAGUGGCGAAGGCGGCCUUCUGGACUGACACUGACGCUGAGGUGCGAAAGCGUGGGUAGCAAACAGGAUUAGAUACCCGGGUAGUC